Non-coding RNA from Pelobates cultripes (western spadefoot toad), 300 nucleotides. NCBI's taxonomy places the organism in Eukaryota, Metazoa, Chordata, Amphibia, Anura, Pelobatidae. The record is from the annotation of a GenBank genome assembly.
AUUCCUUCCCCUCUGCUUGGGAGAUAAUUGAGUUUCUUACUGUAUCUACUCAAUUAUCUCCAAGCUGAAAAAUCAUACUUUUUAUACAUUUUUAUAACUCCCUGAUUUUACAUCACAUACGAAUAAAACAUUUCAUUUCUGUGAUCAGCAUAACUUGGGGAGCAACAUAUGUAAAAAUCACAUGAAUCCGUCCAGGGGUUAAAAAGUUAGGUUGAGGUUCCUUUAUUAUCAAUUGCAAGCAUGGCUUUUCCUUCCCAAACCAGUUCCCACUGGUCUGGCAGUGUCCCUGGGACAACUCCC